GUUUAUAUAGUUUAAAAAAAACAUUACAUUUUCAUUGUAAAAAUAAAGAUAUUUUUUUUAUAAAUU
This 66-nucleotide transfer RNA is filed under the name Sarcophaga genuforceps. RNAcentral describes it as "tRNA-Glu". Lineage: Eukaryota; Metazoa; Arthropoda; Insecta; Diptera; Sarcophagidae. The record is from RNAcentral.